GAUGAACGCUGGCGGCGUGCCUAAUACAUGCCAGUCGAGCGAACGGACGAGAAGCUUGCUUCUCUGAUGUUAGCGGCGGACGGGUGAGUAACACGUGGAUAACCUACCUAUAAGACUGGGAUAACUUCGGGAAACCGGAGCUAAUACCGGAUGAUAUUUUGAACCGCAUGGUUCAAAAGUGAAAGACGGUCUUGCUGUCACUUAUAGAUGGAUCCGCGCUGCAUUAGCUAGUUGGUAAGGUAACGGCUUACCAAGGCAACGAUGCAUAGCCGACCUGAGAGGGGGAGCGGCCACACUGGAACUGAGACACGGUCCAGACUCCUACGGGAGGCAGCAGUAGGGAAUCUUCCGCAAUGGGCGAAAGCCUGACGGAGCAACGACGCGUGAGUGAUGAAGGUCUUCGGAUCGUAAAACUCUGUUAUUAGGGAAGAACAGAUGUGUAAGUAACUGUGCACAUCUUGACGGUACCUAAUCAGAAAGCCACGGCUAACUACGUG
RNAcentral lists this ribosomal RNA (497 nucleotides) under uncultured bacterium. Its description in RNAcentral is "partial 16S ribosomal RNA". It matches the Rfam family "Bacterial small subunit ribosomal RNA", at positions 28 to 507 of the family's 1533-position model. The record is from RNAcentral.